GGUGACUCAUAAUAACUGAUCGAAUCGCAAGGCCUACGGCCGCGAUAAGUCAUUCAAGUUUCUGCCCCAUCAGCUUUCGAUGGUAGUGUAUUGGACUACCAUGGCGUUUACGGGUAACGGAGGAUUAGGGUUCGAUUCCGGAGAGGGAGCCUGAGAAACGGCUACCACAUCUAAGGAAGGCAGCAGGCGCGUAAAUUACCCAAUCCUGACUCAGGGAGGUAGUGACAAGAAAUAACGGGCCGGGA
RNAcentral lists this ribosomal RNA (245 nucleotides) under uncultured Spirotrichea. Its description in RNAcentral is "partial small subunit ribosomal RNA". It matches the Rfam family "Eukaryotic small subunit ribosomal RNA", at positions 245 to 490 of the family's 1831-position model. The record is from RNAcentral. Lineage: Eukaryota; Ciliophora; Spirotrichea.